This is a long non-coding RNA of Clarias gariepinus (North African catfish), 279 nucleotides long. RefSeq lists it as uncharacterized. The transcript has 3 exons. Lineage: Eukaryota; Metazoa; Chordata; Actinopteri; Siluriformes; Clariidae. The record is from RefSeq and is a predicted model, not a curated record.
GAAAAUACAGCUUCCUGUUAAGACGCCCAUCGUGCACUGCUGAAGGUGAGAGCGUUCUUGACAUCGCUCUGUCUGUCAAGCCUAACACAAGCUUGAGGACGCCGGGGCUUAAAACACGCAGGAAACUGUGACGACUGAUUAGAUAAAACAUAAGAAAGUGACUUAUGGUGUCUUAGAAGAGGCCUCUUACACCCCGUUAUGGCAAAGUUCCUUGGACCAAGGUUUUUGCUCCUGGUCCUGGCAGGAGUCGCGUUAUGUACACCAACCUCAUCCCAAGAU